GGACUACCAGGGUUUCUAAUCCUGUUUGCUACCCACGCUUUCGCAUCUCAGCGUCAAUUACUGUCCAGCAAGCUGCCUUCGCCAUUGGUGUUCCUCCAUAUAUCUACGCAUUCCACCGCUACACAUGGAAUUCCACUUGCCCCUCCAGUAUUCUAGUUUACCAGUAUCCAAUGCAAUUUAGUGGUUGAGCCACUAGCUUUCACACCAGACUUAAUAAACCGCCUACAUGCUCUUUACGCCCAAUAAUUCCGGAUAACGCUCGGGACCUACGUAUUACCGCGGCGGCUGGCAC
Molecule: unclassified non-coding RNA, 292 nt
Filed under: uncultured fungus
Lineage: Eukaryota; Fungi
Description: sequence contains ITS1
Source: RNAcentral